RNAcentral lists this transfer RNA (90 nucleotides) under Methanobacteriota archaeon. RNAcentral describes it as "Euryarchaeota archaeon tRNA-Ser". It matches the Rfam family "tRNA". From Rfam's summary of the family: Transfer RNA (tRNA) molecules are approximately 80 nucleotides in length. Their secondary structure includes four short double-helical elements and three loops (D, anti-codon, and T loops). Lineage: Archaea; Methanobacteriati; Methanobacteriota. The record is from RNAcentral.
GGAGAGGUGGCUGAGAGGUUGAAAGCGCAUCCCUGCUAAGGAUGAGCAGGAGCAAUCCUGCCGAGGGUUCGAAUCCCUCCCUCUCCGCCA